This 466-nucleotide ribosomal RNA is filed under the name uncultured bacterium. RNAcentral describes it as "partial 16S ribosomal RNA". It matches the Rfam family "Bacterial small subunit ribosomal RNA", at positions 28 to 507 of the family's 1533-position model. The record is from RNAcentral.
GACGAACGCUGGCGGCGUGCUUAACACAUGCAAGUCGAACGAUGAAGCCCAGCUUUCGUGGUGUGUUAGAGUCGCACACGUGUGUGUAACGCGUGUAUCACCUGCCUAACACUGGGGGAUAACUAGUGGACACGGUCGCUAAUACCGUAUAAGAGCCCACAGUGCAUGGUGUGUGUUAGAGAUUUAUCGGUUUUGGAUGAACACGCGGCCUAUCAGCUUGUUGGUGAGGUGAUGGCGCAACAAGGCGACGACGCGUAGCCGGCCUGAGAGGGUGACCGGCCACAGUGGGACUGAGACACGGCCCAGACUCCUACGGGAGGCAGCAGUGGGGAAUAUUGCACAAUGGGCGGAAGCCUGAUGCAGCGACGCCGCGUGAGGGAUGACGGCCUUCGGGUUGUAAACCGCUUUCGGUUGGGAAGAAGCGAAAGUGACGGUAUCUUCAGAAGAAGCACCGGCUAACUACGUG